UGGUGGAGUGAUUUGUCUGGUUAAUUCCGAUAACGAACGAGACUCUAGCCUGCUAAAUAGUGAGCAUGUAUUCUUUGCAUGUUGCACUUCUUAGAGGGAUUCGCUACUUAUAGUGGCACGAAAUUGAGCAAUAACA
This 136-nucleotide ribosomal RNA is filed under the name uncultured eukaryote. RNAcentral's name for it is "partial 18S ribosomal RNA". It matches the Rfam family "Eukaryotic small subunit ribosomal RNA", at positions 1299 to 1458 of the family's 1831-position model. The record is from RNAcentral.